AAAACGGCCCUUUUCAGAGCCACCACAUUUUUAAGUUCAUAAAUAU
Non-coding RNA from Acyrthosiphon pisum (pea aphid), 46 nucleotides. NCBI's taxonomy places the organism in Eukaryota, Metazoa, Arthropoda, Insecta, Hemiptera, Aphididae. The record is from Rfam.